RNAcentral lists this ribosomal RNA (498 nucleotides) under uncultured bacterium. RNAcentral's name for it is "partial 16S ribosomal RNA". It matches the Rfam family "Bacterial small subunit ribosomal RNA", at positions 30 to 523 of the family's 1533-position model. The record is from RNAcentral.
AUUGAACGCCGGCGGCAUGCCUUACACAUGCAAGUCGAACGGUAACAGGUCUUCGGAUGCUGACGAGUGGCGAACGGGUGAGUAAUACAUCGGAACGUGCCCGAUCGUGGGGGAUAACGGAGCGAAAGCUUUGCUAAUACCGCAUACGAUCUACGGAUGAAAGCAGGGGACCGCAAGGCCUUGCGCGGACGGAGCGGCCGAUGGCAGAUUAGGUAGUUGGUGGGAUAAAAGCUUACCAAGCCGACGAUCUGUAGCUGGUCUGAGAGGACGACCAGCCACACUGGGACUGAGACACGGCCCAGACUCCUACGGGAGGCAGCAGUGGGGAAUUUUGGACAAUGGGCGCAAGCCCGAUCCAGCCAUGCCGCGUGCAGGAUGAAGGCCUUCGGGUUGUAAACUGCUUUUGUACGGAACGAAAAGACUCUGGUUAAUACCUGGGGUCCAUGACGGUACCGUAAGAAUAAGCACCGGCUAACUACGUGCCAGCCGCCGCCGUAA